This 470-nucleotide ribosomal RNA is filed under the name uncultured bacterium. Its description in RNAcentral is "partial 16S ribosomal RNA". It matches the Rfam family "Bacterial small subunit ribosomal RNA", at positions 28 to 507 of the family's 1533-position model. The record is from RNAcentral.
GACGAACGCUGGCGGCGUGCUUAACACAUGCAAGUCGAACGGUGAACGAGGGAGCUUGCUCCCUCCGGAUCAGUGGCGAACGGGUGAGUAACACGUGAGCAAUCUGCCCCGAACUCUGGGAUAAGCGUUGGAAACGACGUCUAAUACCGGAUACGACGCGGGAGGGCAUCCUCUCCGCGUGGAAAGAACUUCGGUUCGGGAUGAGCUCGCGGCCUAUCAGCUUGUUGGUGAGGUAACGGCUCACCAAGGCGACGACGGGUAGCCGGCCUGAGAGGGUGACCGGCCACACUGGGACUGAGACACGGCCCAGACUCCUACGGGAGGCAGCAGUGGGGAAUAUUGCACAAUGGGCGCAAGCCUGAUGCAGCAACGCCGCGUGCGGGACGACGGCCUUCGGGUUGUAAACCUCUUUUAGCAGGGACGAAGCGAAAGUGACGGUACCUGCAGAAAAAGCACCGGCUAACUACGUG